GAUGAACGCUGGCGGCGUGCCUAAUACAUGCAAGUCGAGCGAACAGACGAGGAGCUUGCUCCUCUGACGUUAGCGGCGGACGGGUGAGUAACACGUGGAUAACCUACCUAUAAGACUGGGAUAACUUCGGGAAACCGGAGCUAAUACCGGAUAAUAUAUUGAACCGCAUGGUUCAAUAGUGAAAUACGGUUUUGCUGUCACUUAUAGAUGGAUCCGCGCCGCAUUAGCUAGUUGGUAAGGUAACGGCUUACCAAGGCAACGAUGCGUAGCCGACCUGAGAGGGUGAUCGGCCAUACUGGAACUGAGACACGGUCCAGACUCCUACGGGAGGCAGCAGUAGGGAAUCUUCCGCAAUGGGCGAAAGCAUGACGGAGCAACGCCGCGUGAGUGAUGAAGGUCUUCGGAUCGUAAAACUCUGUUAUUAGGGAAGAAAAAAUGUGUAAGUAACUAUGCACGUCUUGACGGUACCUAAUCAGAAAGCCACGGCUAACUACGUG
RNAcentral lists this ribosomal RNA (497 nucleotides) under uncultured bacterium. RNAcentral describes it as "partial 16S ribosomal RNA". It matches the Rfam family "Bacterial small subunit ribosomal RNA", at positions 28 to 507 of the family's 1533-position model. The record is from RNAcentral.